UCUAUCUUCAACGAUAUUAACAACAGUUAAGAGUUACCAGCCCUUCUAUGCUAUGAGAAGGUGUCAUAUUGAAAUUUUCGAGCUUCCAACAUGGUACUUUAUUAUGAUGCAUCCUUCACUUGCCAGAUUUGAAUUUUGAAGGCCCCCAUGCUUGGACGAGUCCCAUCUAUUUGAUUUGGUGUAGCAUUUUUCUGACAUCUUGCCAAACCAAUCGUUGCUAAGUGUCCCCAAAUAUCAUGUCGGGCUGAUAUCCACAAAUUUGGGAGUUCGUAUUCGGAGGAAGUACACUGUUGACACAGAAGGAAGAUAGUAGUAAUGUGGAAGAAGUUCAAUAACCUACCUCAUUAUGAUGGUAUCUUCCUAUUCCCUCCUUUCAUAUAUGCACUCUCUGCAUAUUUUACGCUUCCAAAUAUUUCAGUCGGAGUGAUAUCAUAUUUCAAGACUGCAGAUAUAGAGGUGGCUCUGGUGUGACUGCUUCAAAGAAACAGAUAUAGGCGCAAUUGUAGCUGUGACUGCUCUGCUUUGGAAGUAACUUGUCUUCCAACCGUCAAUUGAUCAUCAUGCCUAGGAUGGGGGAUUUCCAAAUGUUUGAAAAUAAUGAAGAAAAUAUUUUUCGGGGAAUGCGCUGAGCAUGGGAAGAUAAUCUUUCUCAAGGUUUGCAGGAGGCAGUGCAAUGCUUCAAUUUGAAUCAGACAGUCUAAGGUUUCUCUUCUGUCUACUUUCUAAUUGAGGAUUCAAAGGAACUAAUGAUGAUUGAAAGUUAUCAUGAAAAACUUGUCAGCAACCAGCUACCCGUUGAUACUAUUACCCAAUCUCCACUAAGCACUGGUCAUCGUAUCUUUAUUCACCACCAUGACAAUACAAUUACAUUGCUACGAA
Molecule: long non-coding RNA, 879 nt
Organism: Panicum virgatum (switchgrass)
Lineage: Eukaryota; Viridiplantae; Streptophyta; Magnoliopsida; Poales; Poaceae
Exons: 2
Source: RefSeq, a predicted model, not a curated record